CGAGACUUGCAGAGAUGCUUUGGUGCCUUCGGGAACUCUGAGACAGGUGCUGCAUGGCUGUCGUCAGCUCGUGUUGUGAAAUGUUGGGUUAAGUCCCGCAACGAGCGCAACCCUUAUCCUUUGUUGCCAGCGGUUCGGCCGGGAACUCAAAGGAGACUGCCAGUGAUAAACUGGAGGAAGGUGGGGAUGACGUCAAGUCAUCAUGGCCCUUACGAGUAGGGCUACACACGUGCUACAAUGGCAUAUACAAAGAGAAGCGACCUCGCGAGAGCAAGCGGACCUCAUAAAGUAUGUCGUAGUCCGGAUCGGAGUCUGCAACUCGACUCCGUGAAGUCGGAAUCGCUAGUAAUCGUGGAUCAGAAUGCCACGGUGAAUACGUUCCCGGGUCUUGGCCCACCGAA
RNAcentral lists this ribosomal RNA (401 nucleotides) under Klebsiella sp. OOS91. Its description in RNAcentral is "bacterial SSU rRNA". It matches the Rfam family "Bacterial small subunit ribosomal RNA", at positions 990 to 1383 of the family's 1533-position model. The record is from RNAcentral. Lineage: Bacteria; Pseudomonadati; Pseudomonadota; Gammaproteobacteria; Enterobacterales; Enterobacteriaceae.